Molecule: ribosomal RNA, 253 nt
Filed under: uncultured bacterium
Lineage: Bacteria
Also listed under: 1 other name
Description: partial 16S ribosomal RNA
Rfam family: Bacterial small subunit ribosomal RNA
Source: RNAcentral
UACAGAGGUGGCAAGCGUUGUUCGGAUUUAUUGGGCGUAAAGGGUUCGUAGGCGGACCGGAAAGUCAGAUGUGAAAUCCCACAGCUCAACUGUGGAACUGCAUUUGAAACUUCCGGACUAGAGUGUGAGAGGGGUAAAGGGAAUUCCCGGUGUAAGGGUGAAAUCUGCAGAGAUCGGGAGGAACACCAGUCGCGAAGGCGCUUUACUGGCUCACUACUGACGCUCAGGAACGAAAGCUAGGGUAGCAAACGGG